RNAcentral lists this ribosomal RNA (489 nucleotides) under Myrothecium sp. FNBLa1. RNAcentral's name for it is "SSU rRNA". It matches the Rfam family "Eukaryotic small subunit ribosomal RNA", at positions 240 to 731 of the family's 1831-position model. Lineage: Eukaryota; Fungi; Ascomycota; Sordariomycetes; Hypocreales; Stachybotryaceae. The record is from RNAcentral.
UCUCUGGUGAUUCAUGAUACUUCUCGAUCGCAUGGCCUUGUGCCGGCGAUGGUUCAUUCAAUUUCUUCCCUAUCAACUUUCGAUGUUUGGGUAGUGGCCAAACAUGGUUGCAACGGGUAACGGAGGGUUAGGGCUCGACCCCGGAGAAGGAGCCUGAGAAACGGCUACUACAUCCAAGGAAGGCAGCAGGCGCGCAAAUUACCCAAUCCCGACACGGGGAGGUAGUGACAAUAAAUACUGAUACAGGGCUCUUUUGGGUCUUGUAAUUGGAAUGAGUACAAUUUAAAUCCCUUAACGAGGAACAAUUGGAGGGCAAGUCUGGUGCCAGCAGCCGCGGUAAUUCCAGCUCCAAUAGCGUAUAUUAAAGUUGUUGUGGUUAAAAAGCUCGUAGUUGAACCUUGGGCCUGGCUGGCCGGUCCGCCUCACCGCGUGUACUGGUCCGGCCGGGCCUUUCCCUCUGUGGAACCCCAUGCCCUUCACUGGGUGUGG